RNAcentral lists this long non-coding RNA (816 nucleotides) under Malus domestica (apple). RNAcentral describes it as "long non-coding RNA (MDOM_LNC006567)". The record is from RNAcentral. Lineage: Eukaryota; Viridiplantae; Streptophyta; Magnoliopsida; Rosales; Rosaceae.
AAAUUUUCAACUUCAUACAUCCGAUGUCAAAUUUAGCUAGCUCUAGGCCAUCCAUGCAUCUGUAUUCUAAGUUCUAACUUUGUUUAGUGAAUCAAAUGCAUUAAACUUGAAUAGUCUGAAGAUUCUCAACAGUGUAUCCAGUUCUUUCAUGUCCGGAGCUUACCUGGUGUCCAUAUAGAAAGAAGGUAAGGGCUUGGAUCAUCUGGUUCCCGUCUGUCCAUCUGUAAAGUUGAAUAGUGAUUAAUUGAGAAUAAUAAUGCUUAUGUAUUGUUGAUAUAAUAUAUAAUUUUAACCUACCCCUUUUAAGAGUGGAUGUGAAUCUGGUAGUUCAUACCUGCAUUAUACCAGCACAGAAUGUAUAAGUGUGUUAGAGAAGUUACACUUAUGUCUGUUUACACAUGCUUGAUAUGGGUAUGUGUGCCAAAACUCGGAACAUACUGGCUCCUAGGCAGAGAUUUGUUUAAAAUUCAGCGAAUUCAAAAUUUAGACACCUAAGUUUGUUUUCCUAGAUUGAAUAUGCUGUGGUUUCAUUAUAAAUGAUCAAUCAGAGAUAUUAGGAAAAUUUAGUGCAAACCUUUAAAGUAGACUUUGGCCCUACAAUAUUUCAGUUUGUGUUCAGUGUUUUGCUAAGAAUAUGUGGGUUUGUGACUAUGGGAUGAAAUGUACUUACACUUGGUGCUCUGUUCGUAGUCGACUGACAUUCUUUAGCUUGGGUGUAGGAAUAAAAGCAGCUUCUGAAGUCAAGGCAACUAAAGCCUUGGACAUGUCACCUUCUUGGAGCUCCAUCUUCUCUUGCAUAUAGUUCUGUAAUGUCGA